This 502-nucleotide ribosomal RNA is filed under the name uncultured Glomeromycotina. Its description in RNAcentral is "partial small subunit ribosomal RNA". It matches the Rfam family "Eukaryotic small subunit ribosomal RNA", at positions 591 to 1092 of the family's 1831-position model. The record is from RNAcentral. Lineage: Eukaryota; Fungi; Glomeromycota.
CCAAUAGCGUAUAUUAAAGUUGUUGCAGUUAAAAAGCUCGUAGUUGAACUUCGGGGUCUACCCAUUGGUCAGGCUUAAUUGUCUGCACUGGUGAGAUGGAUCUCUACCUUCUGAGGAACUUUCAUGCCAUUUAUUUGGUGUGAUGGGAAAUCAGGACUGUUACUUUGAAAAAAUUAGAGUGUUUAAAGCAGACUAUCGUCUGAAUACAUUAGCAUGGAAUAAUGAAAUAGGACGGACUGAUUCUAUUUCGUUGGUUUCUAGGAUCACCGUAAUGAUUAAUAGGGAUAGUUGGGGGCAUUAGUAUUCAAUUGUCAGGGGUGAAAUUCUUGGAUUUAUUGAAGACUAACUACUGCGAAAGCAUUUGCCAAGGAUGUUUUCAUUAAUCAAGAACGAAAGUUAGGGGAUCGAAGACGAUCAGAUACCGUCGUAGUCUUAACCAUAAACUAUGCCGACUAGGGAUCGGACGAAGUUAAUUUUAUAAUGACGCGUUCGGCACCUUACG